Molecule: ribosomal RNA, 532 nt
Filed under: Pseudaulacaspis celtis
Lineage: Eukaryota; Metazoa; Arthropoda; Insecta; Hemiptera; Diaspididae
Description: eukaryotic LSU rRNA
Source: RNAcentral
AUCUGGGCGACGGUAUUCAGGGUGGCUGGACGGGCUUCGCGCUCGUUCGGCCGUCUGAUGUUGCCGCCGCCGUGUCGGACGUCGCGACCCGUUCGUCGUCGGUCCUUGCUCGGAGGAAGCGCGAUCGAGUUCGUGGCGCGGAGCGUUUCGGCGUGCCGCGACGCGAAGACGCGUCUCUCUGGCUGGCGACGGACGGUAGGCAACGGUGUCCGGCGCCGUGUCUCGCACUCGGCGUCGGUGCCGGUCUGCGACGAUUUCUUCGGGCCUCUUUCCGACCCGUCUUGAAACACGGACCAAGGAGUCUAGCAUGCGCGCGAGUCGCGGGGUUUCGAGCGUACCACGGUGCGCUCGUUACUCGCGAAACCCGUAUGUGGAAGGCGUAAUGAAAGUGAAUAGGGAAGAUGGCGUUCCGAGUCCACGUACCGUGAUCGAGUGUCGCGGCCGGACGUCCGCACUCCCGGGGCGUCUCAAUGGCUCGUCGCGGACGCGGACGGUCGUCUCUCGGGGCGGCCGUCGGUCUGCGUCGGACCGA